GGCAGCUCAGUUGGUUAGAGUGUUGUCCUGAUAGGCCAAAGUUUCAGGUUCAAGUCCUGGCCA
Myotis brandtii (Brandt's bat) is the source of this 63-nucleotide non-coding RNA. NCBI's taxonomy places the organism in Eukaryota, Metazoa, Chordata, Mammalia, Chiroptera, Vespertilionidae. The record is from Rfam.